This 77-nucleotide transfer RNA is filed under the name Clostridia bacterium. Its description in RNAcentral is "tRNA-Arg". It matches the Rfam family "tRNA". Rfam says of the family: Transfer RNA (tRNA) molecules are approximately 80 nucleotides in length. The record is from RNAcentral. Lineage: Bacteria; Bacillati; Bacillota; Clostridia.
GCGUUGUUAGCUCAGCUGGAUAGAGCGUCGGUCUACGGAACCGAAGGUCGGGGGUUCGAAUCCCUCACAACGCACCA